This 497-nucleotide ribosomal RNA is filed under the name uncultured bacterium. Its description in RNAcentral is "partial 16S ribosomal RNA". It matches the Rfam family "Bacterial small subunit ribosomal RNA", at positions 28 to 507 of the family's 1533-position model. The record is from RNAcentral.
GAUGAACGCUGGCGGCGUGCCUAAUACAUGCAAGUCGAGCGAACAGACGAGGAGCUUGCUCCUCUGACGUUAGCGGCGGACGGGUGAGUAACACGUGGAUAACCUACCUAUAAGACUGGGAUAACUUCGGGAAACCAGAGCUAAUACCGGAUAAUAUAUUGAACCGCAUGGUUCAAUAGUGAAAGACGGUUUUGCUGUCACUUAUAGAUGGAUCCGCGCCGCAUUAGCUAGUUGGUAAGGUAACGGCUUACCAAGGCAACGAUGCGUAGCCGACCUGAGAGGGUGAUCGGCCACACUGGAACUGAGACACGGUCCAGACUCCUACGGGAGGCAGCAGUAGGGAAUCUUCCGCAAAGGGCGAAAGCCUGACGGAGCAACGCCGCGUGAGUGAUGAAGGUCUUCGGAUCGUAAAACUCUGUUAUUAGGGAAGAACAAAUGUGUAAGUAACUAUGCACGUCUUGACGGUACCUAAUCAGAAAGCCACGGCUAACUACGUG